RNAcentral lists this ribosomal RNA (253 nucleotides) under uncultured bacterium. RNAcentral describes it as "partial 16S ribosomal RNA". It matches the Rfam family "Bacterial small subunit ribosomal RNA", at positions 524 to 776 of the family's 1533-position model. The record is from RNAcentral.
UACGUAGGGGGCAAGCGUUGUCCGGAUUUAUUGGGCGUAAAGAGCGUGUAGGCGGCCAGACAGGUCAGCUGUGAAAACUCGAGGCUCAACCUCGAGACGUCGGUUGAAACCGUCUGGCUAGAGUCCGGAAGAGGAGAGUGGAAUUCCCGGUGUAGCGGUGAAAUGCGCAGAUAUCGGGAAGAACACCCGUGGCGAAGGCGGCUCUCUGGGCCUGUACUGACGCUGAGGAGCGAAAGCGUGGGGAGCGAACAGG